CUAGAGGAAACUCUAGCUAAUGCCGGAUGAGACCACGAUCCCUUCGGGGGUUGCGGCAAAGAUGGCCUCUACUUGUAAGCUAUCGCUGAGGGAUGGGGCCUGCGGGCCAUUAGCUUGUUGGUGAGGUAACGGCUCACCAAGGCUGUGAUGGCUAGCUGGUCUGAGAGGAUGACCCAGCCACACUGGGACUGAGACACGGCCCAGACUCCUACGGGAGGCAGCAGUGGGGAAUAUUGCGCAAUGGGCGAAAGCCUGACGCAGCGACGCCGCGUGGGUGAUGAAGGCCUUCGGGUCGUAAAGCCCUGUCGCAGGGGGAAGAAUAAGCAUCGGUAUAAUACGCCGGUGCCCUGACGGUACCCUGCAAGAAAGCACCGGCUAACUCCGUG
Molecule: ribosomal RNA, 386 nt
Filed under: uncultured bacterium
Lineage: Bacteria
Description: bacterial SSU rRNA
Rfam family: Bacterial small subunit ribosomal RNA
Source: RNAcentral